This 431-nucleotide ribosomal RNA is filed under the name uncultured bacterium. RNAcentral's name for it is "partial 16S ribosomal RNA". It matches the Rfam family "Bacterial small subunit ribosomal RNA", at positions 29 to 506 of the family's 1533-position model. The record is from RNAcentral.
ACGAACGCUGGCGGCAUGCCUAACACAUGCAAGUCGAACGAGACCUUCGGGUCUAGUGGCGCACGGGUGCGUAACGCGUGGGAACCUGCCCUUAGGUUCGGAAUAACUCCCCGAAAGGGGUGCUAAUACCGGAUAAUGUCUUCGGACCAAAGAUUUAUCGCCUUUGGAUGGGCCCGCGUUGGAUUAGCUAGUUGGUAGGGUAAAAGCCUACCAAGGCGACGAUCCAUAGCUGGUCUGAGAGGAUGAUCAGCCACACUGGGACUGAGACACGGCCCAGACUCCGACGGGAGGCAGCAGUGGGGAAUAUUGGACAAUGGGCGAAAGCCUGAUCCAGCAAUGCCGCGUGAGUGAUGAAGGCCUUAGGGUUGUAAAGCUCUUUUACCCGGGAUGAUAAUGACAGUACCGGGAGAAUAAGCUCCGGCUAACUCCGU